AGAGUUAAAUAGUACGUGAAAUUGUUGAAAGGGAAACGAUUGAAGUCAGUCAUGCCGGUGAGAAUCAACUUUGGGGAAGGGGGAUUUUUUUGAACCUAACCUUGAAGUGCACUUCUUCGCUUGGCAGGUUAGCGUCGAUUUUGAACGUCAUAAAAUGAUUGGGGGAAGGUAGCUCUUUCGGGAGUGUUAUAGCCCUUAAUUAAUGUGAUAUUUGGGAUCGAGGAUUGCAACGGAUACCUUUUUUUAGGCUAGCCGCCUGGCCUCUGAUUCGAUGUUGGGUUAUAGACAGCACGCUGACUAUGAUCUGAUUAUUGGUCAAAAGGUUAGAGCGAGCAUAAAUUCGUUAAGGACGCUGACGUAAUGGCUUUAAACGACC
This 376-nucleotide unclassified non-coding RNA is filed under the name uncultured Glomeromycotina. RNAcentral describes it as "sequence contains 28S rRNA gene". Lineage: Eukaryota; Fungi; Glomeromycota. The record is from RNAcentral.